This is a non-coding RNA of Triticum aestivum (bread wheat), 135 nucleotides long. Lineage: Eukaryota; Viridiplantae; Streptophyta; Magnoliopsida; Poales; Poaceae. The record is from Rfam.
UUCAUACUCCCUCCCUCCGGAAAUACUUGCCAUCAAAAUGAAUAAAAGGGGAUGUAUCUAGACGUAUUUUAGUUUUAGAUACAUCUCUUUUUAUUCAUUUUGAUGACAAGUAUUUUUGGACAGAGGGAGUACUAA